ACAAUGUGGUUGGAUUCCACCAUCUGCCAAGAUGGGAUUCAAACCAGGACUUCAGUCGUUUGUUUUAAUAUUUUGGAUAAAAUUUAAAUACAUUAGGAUAUUAAAUCAGAAU
This is a non-coding RNA of Chiloscyllium plagiosum (whitespotted bambooshark), 112 nucleotides long. Lineage: Eukaryota; Metazoa; Chordata; Chondrichthyes; Orectolobiformes; Hemiscylliidae. The record is from RefSeq and is a predicted model, not a curated record.